Molecule: unclassified non-coding RNA, 249 nt
Filed under: Monodictys sp.
Lineage: Eukaryota; Fungi; Ascomycota; Dothideomycetes; Pleosporales
Also listed under: 2 other names
Description: partial contains 5.8S ribosomal RNA, internal transcribed spacer 2, and large subunit ribosomal RNA
Source: RNAcentral
AACGCACAUUGCGCCCAUUAGUAUUCUAGUGGGCAUGCCUGUUCGAGCGUCAUUUCAACCCUUAAGCCUAGCUUAGUAUUGGGAAUCUGCUUAACCGCAGCUCCUUAAAUAUAGUUGGCAGAGCACAGCUGUACUCUGAGCGUAGUAAUUCAUUAUCUCGCUUUCUGAAGACAGUCGUACGAUCGCCACAAACCUAUUUAUUUUUUAAUGGUUGACCUCGGAUCAGGUAGGAAUACCCGCUGAACUUAA